Molecule: RNA transcript, 5190 nt
Organism: Rhododendron vialii
Lineage: Eukaryota; Viridiplantae; Streptophyta; Magnoliopsida; Ericales; Ericaceae
Gene name: protein MODIFIER OF SNC1 1
Exons: 12
Source: RefSeq, a predicted model, not a curated record
CACGGCUUCAAAUUACCGUCAUCAUCAUCGCCUCGUAUCCACCAUCUCCUCUCCCUUGCUAUUGUUUCUGAUCCUGUCGCCCAACACCCCUAGAUCGGCACCUCCCUUUUCUCAUAGAUCCGUCUCUCAAUCUCUCUCCUGGCUCUCUGAAAAUUGUUUGGAUGACCCUGGGAAUACGUUUUAAGAAUGACUUCAAGUAUGAUGGCUGGAGAGCGAAGGUGGGCUUCGGCGAGAAGAGGUGGCAUGACUGUUCUGGGAAAAGUUGCUGUUCCAAAACCUUUGAACUUACCCAGCCAAAGGUUAGAAAAUCAUGGAAUGGACCCAACUGUGGAAAUUGUUCCCAAGGGUACCCUUAGCUGGGGAAGUCGACCAUCAUCCUCUACCUCAAAUCCAUGGGGUUCCUCCACCUUGUCCCCAAAGGCUGAUGGUGGUACCAGUUCUCCAAGUCAUCUCAGCGGUCGCCCUUCUUCUGGAAGUGGUACCAGGCCGUCAAGUUCUUGUAGUGAUAGAACCCAUGAACUUAAUUCCAAUGCAUGGGGUCCAAGUUCUAGGCCAUCAUCAGCUUCUGGAGCUUUGGCAUCAAAUCAAACAGCUCUGACGUCAUUACGUCCUCGGAGUGCGGAGACAAGGCCUGGUAGUUCGCACUUGUCACGGUUUGCUGAAACCUCAUCUGAUAGUUCUGUUGCGUGGGGUCCAACUGGUGUUUCAGAAAAAUUGGGAGUGGCAUCAUCCAGGAAUGAUGGGUUCUCUCUGAGUUCUGGAGAUUUUCCGACGCUUGGUUCAGAAAAAGAAAAUUCUGGAAAAAGUGCAGACUCACAAGAUCAUGCUCCUCAUAGUCGUCCUGGCUCAUCUUCCAGAGUGGCCUCGGGAAAAGAGAAUAGUGCAACUUCUUCAGUUGGUGACAAUUCUAUAAAUGCCAAUGUGACUGUAAAUACUUGGAGGAGAGAUGGUCCGCAACAUGUUGAAGAAGGGAUGUUUCAGCCUCCAGUGGAGAAGUGGCAGGGGGAACCCCCACCAUAUCUUAAUGCUAAUGUUCCUCCUCAGCACUUUGAUGCGUGGCGCGGUCCCCCUUUAAAUCCUCCUCCUGGGGUUUGGUACAGAGGACCUCCAGGAGGUCCACCUUAUGCAACUCCAGUCGGAGUCGGUCCCGGUGGAUUCCCCAUGGAACCAUUUCCUUACUAUCGCCCUCAAAUUCCACCUCCUGCUUUAGCAAACUCGCAACCAGUUCCUCCGGGGCCUGGACCAAGAGGACACCAUCCUAAAAAUGGAGACAUGUACAGACCCCACAUUCCGGAUGGUUAUGUUCGUCCAGGUAUGCCCCUUAGGCCUGGUUUUUAUCCCGGUCCCGUGCCAUAUGAGGGUUAUUAUGGGCCUCCUAUGGCCUACUGCAAUUCUAGUGAACGAGAUUUCCCAUUUAUGGGAAUGCCAGCUGGCCCCCCUAUUUACAGCAGGUACCCUGGCGAAAAUGCUCCUCCUGAUCCAGGCAACAAUCAUGCCAGAGCUGGUCCGCAUGGACCCACAGGAAGAGCACCGGGCUCGGAACAAUUGGAAUCCGGUCCUCCAGAGGAAGCUCGUGGGCCAUACAAAGUUCUUCUGAAGCAACACAAUGAAUGGGAUGAAACACGGGCGGAAGACAAAUGGGAGCACACUGUACCAGAUAAUGCCCCAUAUGGUGGGAAGGGGGACCCACCAAGAAAUUCAUUGAAGAAAAAUGAGUGGGGAUCAGAAGACAGGAAAGAUGAUGAGAUUUAUUCAGGAAGAAGGAUUCUUGGUGGAAAUGAUAUUUCCUCCCGGAAUUUUGACAAUCGUGGAAGAUAUUCUUCAGAUUUACCUGAAAGUAGGGGCAAGGCAAAGACGGGUCAAAAUUCUGUGCACAAAUCGGAAAAUGAAGCAUCCACAUUUUCACAAGGACGUCAAGCAUUUCCAGCUACUCCCAAAGAUUCAACUUUGCUACAAAAAAUUGAUGGUCUAAAUGCUAAAGUCCGAGCUUCUGAUGGACGGCCCGAUGCUGCAUCAGUUCCAAGAGUGGAAGAGCAAAUGAGUAGGUUGCAAGUAGUCACUGCCAAGGUCAAUCAUCCAAGGCAUGAAGGUGGUACUGAUUUUGGGAGAAUUCACACGAGUGGAAAUCUUGUUCCUGCUUCCCGUGAACUGGAUAUUCCAACUGCUGGUAAUGCCCUUCAUUCAACAUCUUCCAGUGGAACAACCGAUUCAAGGAGAGCUAGUCAUGGGGUGCAGGGUAGGCUUGACCAUCGCGGUAAAAGAUUCAACACUCCGGAUGCCGAUGGGUGGCGAAAGAAACCUCUUGGCGCUGAGUUUACCGGUGCAGUUUCAGCUUUAAAUUCAGAACCAAGUUCUAACGUUCACGCACAAGACCACCUUUCAUCUGUUAUUGCUGCUGAGAAGUAUGUGAUCAACCUUCAAGAGAAGGACGAGGGAGAGUCUCUGACACCAAUGUUUGAUCCAAGUGAUUGCCAAGAACAGCGUGCUAAGAUGAGGGAGAUAGCGAAGCAACGGGCUUUACAACUACAGAAAGAGGAGGAGGAGCGCAUAAGAGAGCAGAAGGCAAAGGCUCUUGCAAAAUUAGAAGAGCUGAAUAGGCGCACUCAGGCUACUGAUGGUAAUGGUUCAACUCAGAAGUUGGAAAAAGCUCCACCUAGUGUUUCUAUCCAACAAGAAAAAGAAGAAUGCCAGGUACCCACUGAGCAAGUGAUGGUUGCAAGCAAAUUUGAAACACCAACAUCCGAAUUGGUUUCUAACCCUAAUGCUCAGACUACAAAGAGCAGUGCCAUUGAGGUCGUGGAAUCUACGCAUCUGUCCAAUGCUCCACCCAUGGAGACAUCAGAGAAUCCGCAACUCAAACCAGUUGUUCCACAUACUGCUAGUGCUGCCGACCCUAAAGCUGCGACCCAAGUUAAUGAAGGCAGUACUUCCAGGCAUAAGCGCAUGGGACAUAAACAGAAGCAGAAUAUUUCACUGGGAGGGAACUUGACAGAAAAGUCGGUUCCUAUCAGUUCAACUGUGGCACAAAAGAAUAGCACUGAUGUGGCUGUUAAUGAUGCAUCAACUGAAGUUGUAGCCGGUGAAGUAGGCCCAAGCCGUGAGUCAAGCUUGCCCGUGAACUCGAAUGUCUUGACGGAGUCCUCAGCACAUCAGAGGAGGAAAAUUAAUAGAAGCAGCAAAAACAAGCAUAAGUCGGAUGAUGUGCCCUCUGUAACUGCUUUAGUGCCAAAAGAAACUAAUGCUGAAAAAGCUUCCGUUGAAAGUGGAAAGCUAGGGUCUUCUGAGUUGGAGUUGGAUCUCAGUUCAGUUCAUUUUUCGGAGCAACAAAGGACUUCGUUACUGAAUGAAGAACCCUCCGGUAGGGCUAACAGCCAGUGGAAAUCUCAGCACACUCGCCGGAUGCCAAAAAGCCAACAAGCUAAUAGAAAUGCAGAGAAAGACGCUGUGAUGUGGGCACCUGUGCGGUCAGAUAAGAAAGCUGAGUUUAUAGAUGAAGCCAGUAACAGAACCAUACCUGACCCUAUUAUUGGAACAGCAAAGGCCGAUAGCGUCAUUCACAAUAAUACGAAAAGCAAGAGGGCUGAGAUGGAGAGGUAUGUGCCGAAACCAGUAGCCAAAGAACAACUGGCUCAGCAGACUUUAUUAGAGGAGACUGUUGAAAAUUGUCAAACUGUAAACUUAACAAUUGGGAAUAUAGUUUGUACUGUCGAGUCUGGGAAUGAUAAUCAGAAUAAGCAAUCCAAAGCGCCUGGAUCAUGGCGGCAGAGGGGUUCACCGGAUGGAUCCUCGUCUAUUUUGGACCCUAGCCAGAAUAUCCAGGAAUCCAUUGAGCAACAACAGCAGUCGUUGAAGCCUGAAGUAAACUCUGUGAAAGAGAGAACAAAGUCGUCUGAUGAUUGGAACGCUUCUGACGGCUGGAAUACUUCUGAAACUUUUGACACAGCAGCACCCGUUCCAUCUGCUCUUGUGAAAGAGCAGGGAGUAAUAACAGGCAGAGGAAAGCGGCAACCAUUUAGAGGUCAGAGAAAUGUAAUUAGUGGGGACAAUGAUAAAAGUUCUUCUCAGACUCCAGCCCCUGAGGUAGUAGGUCAAACAGACAAAAGUAGUGCUGCAAAGGAAAACCGGACAACUUCUCAGUGGCAACCCAAAUCCCAGGUCUAUGCAUUUCCUAAUCAGAGGGCAAGCAGGCCCGGUGGAGGACAAAGUGGUACUGCUGCUGAAGCCAGAAACCCUAUCAAAAAGGAUUCACACUCCCAUGAUAGGGUUCAAAUGGCAUCCGACCAUAAAAACCAGAGAGCGGAACAUACGGUGCAACCUUCAAAUGAACAAUCUGUUCCGGAACAGAAGAAUGAGGAGGUAAUACCAAAUGAAGCGCAUCAAGAGUCUAAGAGAGAGAAGAAUGUAGCUUCAUUCAGAGGGCAACCCAAUCCCCCUAACCAAAGCUCUGCUGUUAGCACGACUGAUUUGGUUCCUCUGCCAAGUGGAGACACUGAAAAUGAGCAGCAGCGAUUCUCCUCUGGGUUCCGGAAAAAUGGGAACCAAAACAAUCGCUCUGGUAGGGUCCAUGAAUCUCGUGGAGAUUGGAGCUUAGGUGGACAGGAUAACAGGCAGCAUAAUAAUACGUCUUCAAACCGAGAGAGACAGAGACAUAGUUCACAUUAUGAGUACCAGCCAAUUGGACAGCAAAAUUACAGCAAGACCAACAAUUUUGAAGGGUCCGUAGAUGGCUCUCAUAAUCCAGGCACAAGGUACAGGGAGAAGAGCCAGGGUAACUCGAGGCGUGGUGGGGGUAAUUUUAGCAAUCGGCAAGGUGGAACUGCCCGCUUAGAUGCCAGUUAUGAUUAAUGGGAAACACAGAUUAGAAUUGGGUUAUUUUUCGGUGGUCAAAAACCAUUCCUCCACACUGGGUUUUGGAUGCUUUAGCCAAUAUUUCAGGGUUGUGGGGAAAGCGUAUGGUGCCGUGACAAAAUGUUUUGUUUAUGCGAGCAACUCGGAUGUGGUCGCUUUCGUUCUUGUUUCAAGAUGUAAUUGAUUUGAACGUCAUAUUCCGGCCAUGGCUUAGCUUGUUAGUCGUGCACCUCUUAGCAUUUUUUUUUCCUGAGCGAUGUAUUUAGUGGCCAUCAUCUGUGUGUUUCAAACAUGGUAUGUUAGGAAAUGGUUUAGUGAAGGUGUUUUCCUUUUUCCUUGGCU